UACGACUACAUAUCAGGCAUAUCAAUAAGCGGAGGAAAAGAAACUAACAAGGAUUCCCUUAGUAACGGCGAGUGAAGCGGGAAGAGCUCAGAUUUGAAAUCUUCAAGGUUCUACCUUGACGAAUUGUAGUUUAAAGAAGUGUUUUCUGUUAGAUGAGUAGCAAAAGUUCCUUGGAAUGGGACAUCAUAGAGGGUGAGAAUCCCGUAUUUGGUUAUUCAUUCUAGCUUUGUGAUACACUUUCAAAGAGUCGGAUUGUUUGGGAAUGCAGUCCAAAAUGGGUGGUAAAUUUCAUCUAAAGCUAAAUAUUGGCGAGAGACCGAUAGCGAACAAGUACCGUGAGGGAAAGAUGAAAAGAACUUUGAAAAGAGAGUUAAACAGUACGUGAAAUUGUCAAAAGGGAAGCGUUUGACACCAGUGUUGUUUUUCCAAAAAUCAAUUACGAAUGGCUUGAUUUUGUGUUGUAUUGACCUUAUCAGCUUUCUUCACUUUUUUCGAGUCUUUCUUAAUGCACUUUUUGGUUAACAAGUCAACAUCAAUUUCUUUUGUUGUAAAAGAGUAUUCGGAAGGUGGCUUUCUUUUCGGAGAAAGUGUUUAUAGCCCUAUACUUCUACAAUCGGAGAGAUUGAGGUCUGCAGCGUAGAUCCUUCGGGGUUAGAUACACUUUGUGCUAAGUUGUAGCCUUUUCAUAGACAACUUGUUGACUAUGUUUAGUCAUGCGGCUUACUCGCUUAGUGCUAUUUUACCUACGCUUAGGAUGUUGAGUAGCGACAUACGCAC
Molecule: ribosomal RNA, 777 nt
Filed under: uncultured Neocallimastigales
Lineage: Eukaryota; Fungi; Neocallimastigomycota; Neocallimastigomycetes; Neocallimastigales
Description: partial large subunit ribosomal RNA
Rfam family: Eukaryotic large subunit ribosomal RNA
Source: RNAcentral